AGUGGGGAAUUUUGGACAAUGGGGGCAACCCUGAUCCAGCCAUUCCGCGUGAGUGAAGAAGGCCUUCGGGUUGUAAAGCUCUUUCGGCAGGAACGAAACGGUAGUUACUAAUACUAGCUGCUAAUGACGGUACCUGAAGAAGAAGCACCGGCUAACUACGUGCCAGCAGCCGCGGUAAUACGUAGGGUGCGAGCGUUAAUCGGAAUUACUGGGCGUAAAGCGUGCGCAGGCGGUUUUGUAAGACAGAUGUGAAAUCCCCGGGCUUAACCUGGGAACUGCGUUUGUGACUGCAAGACUUGAGUGCGGCAGAGGGGGGUGGAAUUCCGCGUGUAGCAGUGAAAUGCGUAGAUAUGCAGAGGAACACCGAUGGCGAAGGCAGCCCCCUGGGUCGACACUGACGCUCAUGCACGAAAGCGUGGGGAGCAAACAGGAUUAGAUACCCUGGUAGUCCACGCCCUAAACGAUGCCAACUAGGUGUUGGGGAAGGAGACUNCCUUAGUACCGUAGCUAACGCGUGAAGUUGGCCGCCUUAANAGGGCGGUCGCAAGAUUA
RNAcentral lists this ribosomal RNA (552 nucleotides) under uncultured bacterium. Its description in RNAcentral is "bacterial SSU rRNA". It matches the Rfam family "Bacterial small subunit ribosomal RNA", at positions 353 to 896 of the family's 1533-position model. The record is from RNAcentral.